UACGAAGGGGGCUAGCGUUGUUCGGAAUUACUGGGCGUAAAGCGCACGUAGGCGGAUUUGUAAGUCGGGGGUGAAAGCCUGUGGCUCAACCACAGAAUUGCCUUCGAUACUGCAUGGCUUGAGACCGAAAGAGGUUAGUGGAACUGCGAGUGUAGAGGUGAAAUUCGUAGAUAUUCGCAAGAACACCAGUGGCGAAGGCGGCUGACUGGUCCGGAUCUGACGCUGAGGCGCGAAAGCGUGGGGAGCAAACAGG
RNAcentral lists this ribosomal RNA (253 nucleotides) under uncultured bacterium. RNAcentral's name for it is "partial 16S ribosomal RNA". It matches the Rfam family "Bacterial small subunit ribosomal RNA", at positions 524 to 776 of the family's 1533-position model. The record is from RNAcentral.